GUUAAGCGACUAAGCGUACACGGUGGAUGCCCUGGCAGUCAGAGGCGAUGAAGGACGUGCUAAUCUGCGAUAAGCGUCGGUGAGGUGAUAUGAACCGUUAUAACCGGCGAUUUCCGAAUGGGGAAACCCAGUGUGUUUCGACACACUAUCAUUAACUGAAUCCAUAGGUUAAUGAGGCGAACCGGGGGAACUGAAACAUCUAAGUACCCCGAGGAAAAGAAAUCAACCGAGAUUCCCCCAGUAGCGGCGAGCGAACGGGGAGGAGCCCAGAGCCUGAAUCAGUGUGUGUGUUAGUGGAAGCGUCUGGAAAGGCGCGCGAUACAGGGUGACAGCCCCGUACACAAAAAUGCACAUACUGUGAGCUCGAUGAGUAGGGCGGGACACGUGGUAUCCUGUCUGAAUAUGGGGGGACCAUCCUCCAAGGCUAAAUACUCCUGACUGACCGAUAGUGAACCAGUACCGUGAGGGAAAGGCGAAAAGAACCCCGGCGAGGGGAGUGAAAAAGAACCUGAAACCGUGUACGUACAAGCAGUGGGAGCCUCUUAAUGGGGUGACUGCGUACCUUUUGUAUAAUGGGUCAGCGACUUAUAUUCUGUAGCAAGGUUAACCGAAUAGGGGAGCCGAAGGGAAACCGAGUCUUAACUGGGCGUUAAGUUGCAGGGUAUAGACCCGAAACCCGGUGAUCUAGCCAUGGGCAGGUUGAAGGUUGGGUAACACUAACUGGAGGACCGAACCGACUAAUGUUGAAAAAUUAGCGGAUGACUUGUGGCUGGGGGUGAAAGGCCAAUCAAACCGGGAGAUAGCUGGUUCUCCCCGAAAGCUAUUUAGGUAGCGCCUCGUGAAUUCAUCUCCGGGGGUAGAGCACUGUUUCGGCAAGGGGGUCAUCCCGACUUACCAACCCGAUGCAAACUGCGAAUACCGGAGAAUGUUAUCACGGGAGACACACGGCGGGUGCUAACGUCCGUCGUGAAGAGGGAAACAACCCAGACCGCCAGCUAAGGUCCCAAAGUCAUGGUUAAGUGGGAAACGAUGUGGGAAGGCCCAGACAGCCAGGAUGUUGGCUUAGAAGCAGCCAUCAUUUAAAGAAAGCGUAAUAGCUCACUGGUCGAGUCGGCCUGCGCGGAAGAUGUAACGGGGCUAAACCAUGCACCGAAGCUGCGGCAGCGACGCUUAUGCGUUGUUGGGUAGGGGAGCGUUCUGUAAGCCUGUGAAGGUGGCCUGUGAGGGUUGCUGGAGGUAUCAGAAGUGCGAAUGCUGACAUAAGUAACGAUAAAGCGGGUGAAAAGCCCGCUCGCCGGAAGACCAAGGGUUCCUGUCCAACGUUAAUCGGGGCAGGGUGAGUCGACCCCUAAGGCGAGGCCGAAAGGCGUAGUCGAUGGGAAACAGGUUAAUAUUCCUGUACUUGGUGUUACUGCGAAGGGGGGACGGAGAAGGCUAUGUUGGCCGGGCGACGGUUGUCCCGGUUUAAGCGUGUAGGCUGGUUUUCCAGGCAAAUCCGGAAAAUCAA
RNAcentral lists this ribosomal RNA (1507 nucleotides) under Escherichia coli. RNAcentral describes it as "partial 23S ribosomal RNA". It matches the Rfam family "Bacterial large subunit ribosomal RNA", at positions 1 to 1553 of the family's 2925-position model. Lineage: Bacteria; Pseudomonadati; Pseudomonadota; Gammaproteobacteria; Enterobacterales; Enterobacteriaceae. The record is from RNAcentral.